GAUAAAUUAUUGAAGGAAUUUAUCGAAGUAAUUUUAUUCGUAAUUUCAAUUAUUAAAUUUUGUCCAUUAAUGCCAAAACAGUGCAUGCUUUUUUCUGAGAGUACAGUUCAGAACUCGUAUUGCAAUUUUUAUUAAGUUAAUCCCUCACAAUUGUUGUGCAGCUCGAGAAUGAUUUACUCGUAGAGGUCAACGAACAUCCAAAUUUAUAUUCUAUGCCUACUGUUCCUACUGCGAUUCUCUGUUGCGCAUACGAUGCCGAGAACACGUAUUGUAACAAGAAAACCGUUAGAUCUUCGACUGUGGCCGACCAACCGAAUGGAAAGAGGGAAUCCUUGCAACCGGUGGUUGCACUUCGCUGCCAGCUAUCAUUUUAUGGUAGAAAAGUAUCUAUAAGAUUUAUGCCAAAUGCAUAAAUUAGAAAUUUUUCUGGAUGAGUAAUCACGUCAAUGGAACUUCUAAUACGAUCUCGAGAGGCUGCAAUCAGCAUUAAAAACGAUCUGGUAUAAUGGCGCAAGUUGCGACACUACGCGUAGGUGUCGAUGGAAGGCGCAAUGCACUUAGGUGUACGAACGAUGCGGCAUAUCUGUAAUUUCGUUUCCAAGCCAGAGAAGACGUGCACGGAGAUGCAAAUAAGAGCGCGAAUUGAGAUUGAGCGAAGAAAGUCAAACAAAGAAAGAAGAAGAAAAUAUUUCUUAAUUUCUAUGGAAAUAAAUCGAUGAUACUUUCAGAUCAUUCUCUGAAUCGAGCAACAGCUGGUUUAUAGAUGAACAGUUUUCCUGCAUCGAUUUCGCUUUCGACAUUCCUCCAACGAGCGACAUCCAUAAGUAAAGUAAAAUCUGUAAACAGAUAUGGAAGAAACCUGACGUCUCGACCUGGCAGAGACAUAGAACGAGAGCGAGAAAAAAAGAUAGGAAAAGCAGUGAAAAGAGGGAGAGGGGAGAAGGAACUGGGAGCAGAUGCAUGGAUCGGAAUGCGGCAUCGGCUGCCCAAGGAGAACCACUUCGCGCUGCGCCCUAGAUAUUCCAUAGCUAAGUAUCCGUCGGUUCCACGUAUGUUUUACGUGUACUGCGUGGCGUCCGCUCUUUCAUGCGUAUAUCGUUGUUCGAGCAAACAAUUAUCGGACACGCGCGCACACCCGGCGUCUCGCAUUUUUUAACCUCUCGGAGGUCGUCGUGUGACACGUGACGCGGAUAUAUUGGAAAUCUUUAUGCGAAUAUUCCUUAAUUCGUAUAUUAUGUUAUGUAAACGUUUAACAUUUUAUCCUGAAAAAUUUGAUGAAAUUUUUCAUUGCAAAUAAUUUUCUCCAGUGAUUUUCUCCAGUGACUUUUUAAUUCUUUCCCAUUCUUUCUUGAUUCAACGUGGAUACAUUGGAAAUCUCUAUGUGAAUAUUCUUUAAUUUCUUAAUUCGUAUAUCGCGUUAUAUAAACGUUUAACAUUUCAUCGUGAAAGCAGAGAUUCGACGAAAUUUUUCGCUGCAAAUGAUUUUCUUCAGCGUUUCGUCAUUUUUUAAAAAUUAUUAAUACAUUAAAAAUAUAUUUCAAAUAAAUUUAUUUUAAGUAAUUAAUUAUUAAAAUAUUUGAACGAUACUAGCUAUUAUGAGUUUGAUAUAUUUUUCGUACAACCUCGAUCUUUAUAGUUAUUAUGUUUCGAACAAUAAGUUAUUGAAGUAACAUAUCAUAAUUAUUAAAUUUUAGUUAUUGUUAAAAUCUUUUGCGAUGUUUCUCAUUUUCAAAUAUCUUAUCUACGAAGGAUAAAAAUUCUUACCUUUCCUUUUGCUUAUGCAUUACAUCACAAAUAUUAAAUAUAUCAAUCAUAGUUUUAUAAAUGUAUCUUAUAAUUUGACGAAAUUCAUGCGUAGAAAUCUCACUCAUAAAUUUAAUCUAGUGCACGCUUGAUCCCGAGACGAGUCGAUUUCUUCUUCCGCGAUCGGUUCGAAAAUAAGGCGGACUGGCUCGCGACCGGUAAAUCGGCUACCGAUACGCUUCGCGUGAGAUAAGAAAUGCACGAAGAAGUAUACGCGAGAAACGCAGGGUGAAAAUUGAAAGGAGGGGAAAACGCGGUUCCCCGUGCGUUUUGCAUACGUUGGAAAACGCGACUUGUUCGAGUUGCUCUUGUUCUGGUUAUCCUGCUUGCGUAUCCUCGCUUUCUCUCGAACGUGAUUCGAGACGUGUGUACUCGUGGUGGAAUGGUGUGCGCUUAACGACGAUCGCGUGCUGCAAUUAAAUUUGUGGCUCGAGCUGCGUUACUCGAGGAUGUUACUCGAUUUUCUGUCGUAAGAUGUCAUGAAGAUUUUUGCAUUUUUCGAUUUGAACGAUUGAAAUUAGUAUUGUAAUGUACUUCAAUGCCGAUAUAACGAUCAAAAAAGUGUAAAAGUAAUUUAGAAGGAUAUUAACGGUGUUGCUUUUUGCGAUGAAUUUUUUUUUUUUUUUAAUUAUUCCAGUGAACGUACAAGAAAUUAAUGUGUGAGUAGUAUAGUAUAAUGUAUAGUUUCAAAUACUUAUCUACGAAUGAUAAAAAUUCUUACUUUCCUUUCCCGCUUAUGCGUAUUACAUCAUAAUUAAAUAUUAAUUAUUAUUUUAUAGUUUUAUAAAUGUAUCUUAUAAUUUGUUCUCUGCGAAUCUUUUAAUUUUAUUUUUGAUUGGCAAAAUUUUAAUCGUGAAAUAUAAUAAUGUUCAAGAAAGGAAAAAGUGGGAAAAAUUUACUUUUAUAGGUAAAGAAAGAGAAAAACUAGUUUGCAACGAUGCUUGUCGUAUUCUCGGAAUCGAUUUCACAUAAUAGUUAUUUCUAACCUAAGUACGUGGGAUUAUUGCGAUAAUUCGUCCUCGAUUAAUCAAGACCGUUAUGUAUUUAAUACGUUACAUGGACUUGUAUAGUUACUUAAUGUAAUAAUCAUCUCAAAAAGGAUCAUGACCAUUAUUUCAAAAAGUUGUUCAACGACAGGAAACUUAUAUGGCGUUUCGUUGCUUAAGCAUAUUUCUAAUAAUUCAAUAGAAACAUUUUUAUGAUAAA
Long non-coding RNA from Apis cerana (Asiatic honeybee), 3009 nucleotides. RefSeq lists it as uncharacterized. The record is from RefSeq and is a predicted model, not a curated record. Lineage: Eukaryota; Metazoa; Arthropoda; Insecta; Hymenoptera; Apidae.